Molecule: unclassified non-coding RNA, 240 nt
Filed under: soil metagenome
Description: partial contains 5.8S ribosomal RNA, internal transcribed spacer 2, and large subunit ribosomal RNA
Source: RNAcentral
AACCUAGCACACCUGCGGUGUGUACCUGCGGAGGGAUCAUUAUCGAGUUGCAAAACUCCCUAAACCAUUGUGAACCUACCUGUACCGUUCCUUCGGCGGGCGGCGUCAAGCCCUAACCCGGUCCCCUUUACGGGGGAUGGACCCGCCGGAGGCUCCUAAACUCUUAAUUUUAGUUGGCAUCUCUGAGUAAAUCAAAAUAAGUCAAAACUUUUAACAACGGAUCUCAGAUCGGAAGAGCAC